RNAcentral lists this ribosomal RNA (495 nucleotides) under uncultured bacterium. RNAcentral's name for it is "partial 16S ribosomal RNA". It matches the Rfam family "Bacterial small subunit ribosomal RNA", at positions 28 to 505 of the family's 1533-position model. The record is from RNAcentral.
GAUGAACGCUGGCGGCGUGCCUAAUACAUGCAAGUCGAGCGAACGGACGAGAAGCUUGCUUCUCUGAUGUUAGCGGCGGACGGGUGAGUAACACGUGGAUAACCUACCUAUAAGACUGGGAUAACUUCGGGAAACCGUAGCUAAUACCGGAUAAUAUUUUGAACCGCAUGGUUCAAAAGUGAAAGACGGUCUUGCUGUCACUUAUAGAUGGAUCCGCGCUGCAUUAGCUAGUUGGUAAGGUAACGGCUUACCAAGGCAACGAUGCAUAGCCGACCUGAGAGGGUAGCCGGCCACAGAGAAACGAGGACACGGGCCGGACUCCGAGGGGGGGCAGAAGUAGGGAAUAUUCCGAAAUGGGGGAAAGCCUAACGGGGAAACGCCGCGGGGGGAAGGAAGUUUUGGGGAUCGAAAAACUCUGUUAUUGGGGAAAAAAAUAUGUGUAAGAAACUGGGCACAUUUUGGGGGCACAAAAAAAAAAAGCCCGGGAAAACUACG